RNAcentral lists this ribosomal RNA (216 nucleotides) under Triticum aestivum (bread wheat). RNAcentral describes it as "partial small subunit ribosomal RNA". The record is from RNAcentral. Lineage: Eukaryota; Viridiplantae; Streptophyta; Magnoliopsida; Poales; Poaceae.
AUGAAAAUCAUAGCAUGGAAUUGCCGGGGACUUGGGAAUGCCCCGGCAGUUCGAGCUUUGCUGGAUGUCCAGCAGAGAUACCUCCCCGAUGUGAUGUUUUUGUCAGAGACUCACCUCGAUAGCUAUCCGGCUGAGGGUUUAUGGAGAAAGUUGAAGAUGGACCAGAAAUUUGUGUGUCCAAGUGAUGGAAGGGAAGGAGGACUGAUUCUGUUCUAG